RNAcentral lists this ribosomal RNA (477 nucleotides) under uncultured bacterium. RNAcentral's name for it is "partial 16S ribosomal RNA". It matches the Rfam family "Bacterial small subunit ribosomal RNA", at positions 30 to 507 of the family's 1533-position model. The record is from RNAcentral.
AUUGAACGCUGGCGGCAUGCCUUACACAUGCAAGUCGAACGGUAACAGGUUAAGCUGACGAGUGGCGAACGGGAGAGUAAUGUAUCGGAACGUGCCCAGUCGUGGGGGAUAACUGCUCGAAAGAGCAGCUAAUACCGCAUACGACCUGAGGGUGAAAGCGGGGGAUCGCAAGACCUCGCGCGAUUGGAGCGGCCGAUAUCAGAUUAGGUAGUUGGUGAGGUAAAGGCUCACCAAGCCGACGAUCUGUAGCUGGUCUGAGAGGACGACCAGCCACACUGGGACUGAGACGCGGCCCAGACUCCUACGGGAGGCAGCAGUGGGGAAUUUUGGACAAUGGGCGCAAGCCUGAUCCAGCCAUGCCGCGUGCGGGAAGAAGGCCUUCGGGUUGUAAACCGCUUUUGUCAGGGAAGAAAAGGUUCUGGCUAAUACCUGGGACUCAUGACGGUACCUGAAGAAUAAGCACCGGCUAACUACGUG